This is a long non-coding RNA of Odontomachus brunneus, 513 nucleotides long. RefSeq lists it as uncharacterized. The transcript is spliced from 3 exons. Lineage: Eukaryota; Metazoa; Arthropoda; Insecta; Hymenoptera; Formicidae. The record is from RefSeq and is a predicted model, not a curated record.
CGUAACCUAACAUAUCUCAUCGUGGCUAUUCGAAAUACUGAGAAUUUAGUAUUGUGCAGUGUGUCGCAUUCGUCACAUUUUGAUAAGUUAUAUUUGUUUAAGGAUGGAGAACAACAAAUAUAUUGUAGCAGAAUUUAAUGAUGGCCUGCAGUUGAUACCUAUAAUAUGGUACAAUGCAGAUACGUCAUCAAGUCUUUGGCCAAGUCAUUUUAAAACAAAACUUCGUAUCAAUAAGACUAUAAUUACAAGAGAAAUUCCAAAAGAAAAAUCAGAUUGGGAGAAGUUACUAAUAAAAAGGGUGUUUGCCAUUGCAAGUAUAUGAAUAAUGUAACACACAAGUUUGUAGUAUAUUAAUAGAUACUUUUGGAACUCUAUUUUUAUACUUUUAUUUUGUUUUAGAUACUUACGAAGAGGGCCUGGAAAAAUUAUGUUUAGCGGAAGAAACGUCAAAUGUUGACAAAACAGGUAUAACGUCAAACGAAGCACAAAAACGAGAAAAAAAGAGAAGACGUU